GAUGAAGAACGCAGCGAAAUGCGAUAAGUAAUGUGAAUUGCAGAAUUCAGUGAAUCAUCGAAUCUUUGAACGCGCAUUGCGCCCGCUAGUAUUCUGGCGGGCAUGCCUGUCCGAGCGUCAUUUCAACCCUCAAGCCCCCGGGCUUGGUGUUGGGGAUCGGCGAGCCUCCGCGCCCGCCGUCCCCUAAAUCUAGUGGCGGUCUCGCUGUAGCUUCCUCUGCGUAGUAGCACACCUCGCACUGGGAAACAGCGCGGCCACGCCGUUAAACCCCCAACUUCUGAACGUUUGACCUCGGAUCAGGUAGGAAUACCCGCUGAACUUAAGCAUAUCAAUAAGCGGAGGA
RNAcentral lists this unclassified non-coding RNA (343 nucleotides) under soil metagenome. RNAcentral describes it as "partial contains 5.8S ribosomal RNA, internal transcribed spacer 2, and large subunit ribosomal RNA". The stretch from base 1 to 120 matches the Rfam family "5.8S ribosomal RNA", at positions 35 to 154 of the family's 154-position model. The record is from RNAcentral.